Long non-coding RNA from Macaca fascicularis (crab-eating macaque), 1825 nucleotides. NCBI's taxonomy places the organism in Eukaryota, Metazoa, Chordata, Mammalia, Primates, Cercopithecidae. The record is from Ensembl.
AAAGCAAUUAUCCAUUUUUAUUUUGUUUACAUUGCACUGAAAAUUUACAUCAUACUUUUACAAAGUUUCUUUUCAUAAAAAUAUACUUCUUUACAAAAGUGUAUGCAUUAAUAUAAGAGGAGUAGCCAGUUGCAGAAGAAACAUUGUUUAAACAAGAUCUUAAAUGUAUUAGCCUUAACAUUAAUGAAUGAAUCAGUUAUUGCAGUCAUUUGAAUAAACAAGAAUAAAUAACUGAUGGCAUAAAAUUUAAAACUGCAUCCUGCCAGUAGAGUACAAUGUUGAGAAAAUUGUAUGAAUUUCCAAAACAAUGUAUCUCAAAGUGGUUUACAAGAAAUUCACUAAAUGUUGUAGAGAUAGAUCCAAGCAGCGCUCCCAGGUGCAAGGGUUUCUCUUAGGCACUCUGUCUCAUGAUACAGAAAGUCGAGACUGUUCACAGAGUUAUCCAUAUUUGAAAGGGACAACAACAAAGAGUUAACACUGGGUACAUGAUUUCAUUCAAUGAAGUAAAACAUGCUAUAAAAGGAAGACAAUGAGCUAUUAAAUAAAAAUGCUGGCAUUGCUGUAUGAUACAGUUUAAAUGAGCCACCAAUAACUUACAAAUACAUAUCUUAAUUUGACAUUGAAAGAAACCUGUUGUAUCUGAAACUUGGUGUUUAAGAAUAAAGGUAUGGAAAUUUAAAAAUAUAUAAAAAUAUGAUAAGUCCACAAUUUUAGGCAAUAAAUUUAUAUUGGUGAUUUAUAAUAACAAUUUUUUUCAGUCAUUAUGUUUAAUGGCUAGACCAAAAUGUUUUUCUAAUCCAUUGUUAAAUGAAAGUUAAAAGUGUCAAAAUAACAGUAAAUUUGAAGACUCAACUGGAAGGAAAUGUAGAUAUAAAUAGAGUAGAUUAUUAGGACAUUUUAUUUGGUCUUUCAAAAAUAUUGUAAAAUGAAGGCUGGUAAGUUUGGUGUCUCAGAUAACUGCAAAAUAAUAAUCUUUCUAGAUAAUUUUUGCCAGCCAAAUGGUUUUUGGGUGACAAAACAUAUUGAAGCUACUAUCACAUUUGGGAUUAAAAAAUAAUAAAAACAAAUAGGAAAAAAACAUAUUGAAGCAUGGAGUUAAACACUACCCCAUAGCUCACUGAAUAAUACUGGUUACUCCAUAAUGGGGAAAUCGGGAGAGUAGCACAAUGAACUUGCCAUUUGCAGAAACUAUGACAACCAGUCCAAAAGAAGAAGAGCAAUACAAUACUAAAGAAUAAAAAACAGAAAGAUUCAAAUUGGAAUGGGCAACCUUAUUUCUUCUGAGACAUAAAUUAGCUCGUAAACAUUUAAAGUCAUAACUCAAUCUUAAAUAAGGAAAACAAUGUCUCAAUUAACAAGAACGAACGGCAGAUAGAGUGGUAUGAAAGACAGAUUUGUGGGCAUGAUGUAGCUCAGGACAGUUAAAGAGAAGUCAGUGAUCUAUUGACUCUUGUAAGUAUAGCUCUUAUUUCUACCCUAUAUCUUUUUUUUUUUUAAACCCAGUCCCUCUAAUAUAGUUUAUAAAGCACAGAAAUACUGAUAGUGGAUGCUCCUCCAAUAUAUGCAAAUAAGUUUGUGUUUUAGAAUAAUCUCCUUUUUAAAAAAAGCAAAUAAACUGUGAGUAAGCACUCUCAGAGUGCAGCCAAAUUUCUGUAAAACUCUCCAUGGUAAACAUGAAGAAUUAUGGUCCAGUUUAUGAAAAAACACUCUUCUGUAUCAUUCCUCAGGAAAAGGUGACCCAGCAAGUCCUGAAAAGUGUGCUUUAAUUUUUUUUUAGCAGUGAACUAAAUGUGCACUGUUUUGUGUGUCGAUUUCCAAGCUUCUG